GCGCAUAAUGUUUGAAAUUUUGCACACAUUUACAAUAAUUGUAAAUGUGUUGAAAAUCGUUUGCACAACUGUG
This 73-nucleotide microRNA precursor is filed under the name Drosophila mojavensis. Its description in RNAcentral is "mir-287 microRNA precursor family". It matches the Rfam family "mir-287 microRNA precursor family". Lineage: Eukaryota; Metazoa; Arthropoda; Insecta; Diptera; Drosophilidae. The record is from Rfam by way of RNAcentral.